GGAAUUCAUAGUGUUCCAGGCACUG
RNAcentral lists this unclassified non-coding RNA (25 nucleotides) under Mus musculus (house mouse). RNAcentral's name for it is "oocyte_clustered_small_RNA5110". The record is from RNAcentral. Lineage: Eukaryota; Metazoa; Chordata; Mammalia; Rodentia; Muridae.